RNAcentral lists this transfer RNA (82 nucleotides) under Colletotrichum godetiae. RNAcentral describes it as "tRNA-Arg". It matches the Rfam family "tRNA". Rfam says of the family: Transfer RNA (tRNA) molecules are approximately 80 nucleotides in length. Their secondary structure includes four short double-helical elements and three loops (D, anti-codon, and T loops). The record is from RNAcentral. RNAcentral also lists the same sequence under 1 other name. Lineage: Eukaryota; Fungi; Ascomycota; Sordariomycetes; Glomerellales; Glomerellaceae.
GGCCGGUUGGCCCAAUGGCAAGGCGUCUGACUACGAUGAAAUUGUUAUCAGGAGAUUCUGGGUUCGACCCCCAGGCUGGUCA